UUGAAUUGCCAGCAAAUUGAACUUCAGGAGGAAAGGAAAUGGUAUCUGCCUGAACUGGAGCUUAUGCUGUAGACAUUUCUUUGUGGAAUUCAUCUAAAAACCUGAGUGUUUUGUUCCCCUAGUUGAAUUCUUCAGAGGAAGAGCGAAAGAGCCUUCUAGUUUUCGAACUCUUGAGGCGUGACUGUUUCAAUUUAUCUCCUGCUUACCAGGAAAAGAAUAUUUGAGGACCAUUUGUAAA
Molecule: long non-coding RNA, 238 nt
Filed under: Canis lupus familiaris (dog)
Lineage: Eukaryota; Metazoa; Chordata; Mammalia; Carnivora; Canidae
Description: lncRNA (ENSCAFG00845021448.1)
Source: RNAcentral